UAGGGAAUCUUCCGCAAUGGACGCAAGUCUGACGGAGCAACGCCGCGUGAGUGAAGAAGGAUUUCGGUUCGUAAAACUCUGUUGUUAGAGAAGAACAGCGCAUAGAGUAAAUGUUAUGCGUGUGACGGUAUCUAACCAGAAAGCCAUGGCUAACUACGUGCCAGCAGCCGCGGUAAUACGUAGGUGGUAAGCGUUGUACGGAUUUAUUGGGCGUAAAGCGAGCGCAGGCGGUCAAUUAAGUCUGAUGUGAAAGCCCCCGGCUCAACCGGGGAGGGUCAUUGGAAACUGUUUGACUUGAGUGCAGAAGAGGAGAGUGGAAUUCCAUGUGUAGCGGUGAAAUGCGUAGAUAUAUGGAUACACACCAGUGGCGAAGGCGACUCUCUGGUCUGUAACUAACGCUGAGUCUCGAAAGCGUGGGUAGCAACCCGG
Molecule: ribosomal RNA, 429 nt
Filed under: Bacteroidota bacterium
Lineage: Bacteria; Pseudomonadati; Bacteroidota
Description: Bacteroidetes bacterium partial 16S ribosomal RNA
Rfam family: Bacterial small subunit ribosomal RNA
Source: RNAcentral